This 453-nucleotide unclassified non-coding RNA is filed under the name Hevea brasiliensis (rubber tree). The record is from RNAcentral. Lineage: Eukaryota; Viridiplantae; Streptophyta; Magnoliopsida; Malpighiales; Euphorbiaceae.
GGGAUUGCUGCAACCCUAAGGGGAAAUGUGAUGUACUCCUUCCUGGAUCGUCUGAUCAACUUGGGGUUGCCUAGAACAAGGGACUUUCAGGGACUGAACUCAAAUAGCUUUGAUGGACAUGGAAAUUACUCCAUCGGUAUCCGUGAACAGAGCGUGUUCCCAGAAAUAAAGUUCGAUACACUUGGCAAACCAAGGGGAAUGGACGUUUGCAUCACAACAACAGCUGAAACCGAUCAAGAAGCCCAGCGACUCUUGGCUCUCAUGGGAAUGCCUUUCAGAGAGAGUAGUGGUUCUGCAGGUGUGAUGAGGAAAAAGAAGCUAAAGUCCCACCAUUUUGAUUCCAAAUCCAAGGGAAGAGCUCGGAGGUAAUGAGUGCAUUUUAGGAACAAGGCUUUUACAUUUCCUCAAUUCAUCUGUUGUAUUUUUACUAGAAAAAACUAUACUCUAGCAAAU